UACGGAGGGUGCGAGCGUUGUCCGGAAUCACUGGGCGUAAAGGGCGCGUAGGCGGCGCGGAUAGUCGGCGGUGAAAGCCCGGAGCUCAACUCCGGGUCGGCCGUCGAUACUUCCGGGCUUGAGCACUGUAGAGGCAGAUGGAAUUCCGGGUGUAGCGGUGGAAUGCGUAGAGAUCCGGAGGAACACCGAAGGCGAAGGCAGUGUCCUGGGGAGUACCUGACGCUCAGGUGCGAAAGCCAGGGGAGCGAACAGG
This 253-nucleotide ribosomal RNA is filed under the name uncultured bacterium. RNAcentral's name for it is "partial 16S ribosomal RNA". It matches the Rfam family "Bacterial small subunit ribosomal RNA", at positions 524 to 776 of the family's 1533-position model. The record is from RNAcentral.